RNAcentral lists this ribosomal RNA (1454 nucleotides) under uncultured bacterium. RNAcentral's name for it is "16S ribosomal RNA". It matches the Rfam family "Bacterial small subunit ribosomal RNA". The record is from RNAcentral.
CUGGCGGCGUGCCUAACACAUGCAAGUCGAACGAGAAUCUACUUAUGAAAUUUUCGGAUGGAUUAGGUAGAGGAAAGUGGCGAACGGGUGAGUAACGCGUGAGCAAUCUGCCUUGUACUGGGGGAUAACGUCGGGAAACCGGCGCUAAUACCGCAUAAUACUAUGAGAUCGCAUGGUCAUAUAGUCAAAACUCCGGUGGUACAAGAUGAGCUCGCGUCCAAUUAGCUAGUUGGUGGGGUAAUGGCCCACCAAGGCGACGAUUGGUAGCCGAACUGAGAGGUUGAUCGGCCACAUUGGGACUGAGACACGGCCCAGACUCCUACGGGAGGCAGCAGUGGGGAAUAUUGCGCAAUGGAGGGAACUCUGACGCAGCAACGCCGCGUGAAGGAUGAAGGUUUUCGGAUUGUAAACUUCUUUGAUCGGGGACGAAAUUGACGGUACCCGAAGAACAAGCCACGGCUAACUACGUGCCAGCAGCCGCGGUAAUACGUAGGUGGCAAGCGUUGUCCGGAAUUACUGGGUGUAAAGGGCGUGUAGGCGGGAAGGCAAGUCAGAUGUGAAGGCCCAUGGCUUAACUGUGGAAUUUCUUCUGAAACUGUUUUUCUUGAGUGCUGGAGAGGAAAGUGAUUUUCUUAGUGUAGCGGUGAAUGGGUAGGAGAUUAGGAGGAACACCAGUGGCGAAGGCGGCUUUUUGGACCAUAAUUGACGCUGAGGCUCGAAAGCGUGGGGAGCAAACAGGAUUAGAUACCCUGGUAGUCCACGCCGUAAACGAUGGAUACUAGACGCAGGAGGUAUCGACUCCUACUGUGUCUGAAGCUAACGCAAUAAGUAUCCCGCCUGGGGAGUACGGCCGCAAGGCUGAAACUCAAAGGAAUUGACAGGGACCCGCACAAGCAGCGGAGCAUGUGGUUUAAUUCGAAGCAACGCGAAGAACCUUACCAAGGCUUGACAUCCUCUGACAGGUGUGGAAACACACUCUUCCUUCGGGACAGAGAGACAGGUGGUGCAUGGUUGUCGUCAGCUCGUGUCGUGAGAUGUUCGGUUAAGUCCGGCAACGAGCGCAACCCCUAUAAACAGUUGCCAAUAUUAAGUUAGGGACUCUGUUUAGACUGCCGUGGGUCAACACGGAGGAAGGUGGGGAUGACGUCAAAUCAUCAUGCCCCUUACGCCUUGGGCUACACACGUGCUACAAUGGGCGCUACAAAGAGCAGCAAGCCGGUAACGGUAAGCGAAUCUCAUAAAGGCGCUCUCAGUUCAGAUUGUGGGCUGCAACCCGCCCACAUGAAGAAGGAGUUGCUAGUAAUCCCGAAUCAGAAUGUCGGGGUGAAUGCGUUCCCGGGUCUUGUACACACCGCCCGUCACGCCAUGGGAGUCGGGAGUACCCGAAGUCGGUGCGCUAACCUAAGCAAUUAGGAGGCAGCCGCCUAAGGUAAGCUCGAUGACUGGGGUGAAGU